UGCAUCCUGUGUCAACUGAUUACCUCCUCUUCUAUGCAGAUCAGCUGCUGGGGACUCCAAUUGCUCACAGUAGCAGCUGUCUCCACUGAUUCUGCCCCAAGCAAUAGCUGAGCAGAAGUCAAAACAUGCUGGGGAGAAGCUAUUCUGUAUUAACCAACAGAGUGCAAUUAUGGAAGAAAGAGAAUCGCUCAGAAAGUUCAGCUGGUUGAUGCACCUAGAAUUAAACUGUCAAUAUAAAUUAUGCAAUCUGAAGACCUAGAAGAGGGCUAG
This 270-nucleotide long non-coding RNA is filed under the name Vulpes vulpes (red fox). RNAcentral describes it as "lncRNA (ENSVVUG00000029324.1)". Lineage: Eukaryota; Metazoa; Chordata; Mammalia; Carnivora; Canidae. The record is from RNAcentral.